UUAAGUUCAGCGGGUAUCCCUACCUGAUCCGAGGUCAACCUGAAUGGAAGCGAUCCCUAACUCGUAGGGGUCGGGUUCGAGGCCAGCGUUUACCGGGAGCGUGCGAGCAUCCAGAAUAAGUCUCCCAUAUGCUCGGUCACCCUUGAUAAGCGACGCCGCCACUGCAUUUGGAGCAGGCCCCCCCCGGAAACGGGAGGGCC
This 200-nucleotide unclassified non-coding RNA is filed under the name Onygenaceae sp. RNAcentral's name for it is "partial internal transcribed spacer 2". Lineage: Eukaryota; Fungi; Ascomycota; Eurotiomycetes; Onygenales; Onygenaceae. The record is from RNAcentral.